AACAGGAUUAGAUACCCUGGUAGUCCACGCUGUAAACGAUGUCGACUUGGAGGUUGUGCCCUUGAGGCGUGGCUUCCGGAGCUAACGCGUUAAGUCGACCGCCUGGGGAGUACGGCCGCAAGGUUAAAACUCAAAUGAAUUGACGGGGGCCCGCACAAGCGGUGGAGCAUGUGGUUUAAUUCGAUGCAACGCGAAGAACCUUACCUACUCUUGACAUCCAGAGAAUUUGCUAGAGAUAGCUUAGUGCCUUCGGGAACUCUGAGACAGGUGCUGCAUGGCUGUCGUCAGCUCGUGUUGUGAAAUGUUGGGUUAAGUCCCGCAACGAGCGCAACCCUUAUCCUUUGUUGCCAGCGAGUAAUGUCGGGAACUCAAAGGAGACUGCCGGUGAUAAACCGGAGGAAGGUGGGGAUGACGUCAAGUCAUCAUGGCCCUUACGAGUAGGGCUACACACGUGCUACAAUGGCAUAUACAAAGAGAAGCGAACUCGCGAGAGCAAGCGGACCUCAUAAAGUAUGUCGUAGUCCGGAUUGGAGUCUGCAACUCGACUCCAUGAAGUCGGAAUCGCUAGUAAUCGUAGAUCAGAAUGCUACGGUGAAUACGUUCCCGGGCCUUGUACACACCGCCCGUCACACCAUGGUAGUGGGUUGCAAAAGAAGUAGGUAGCUUAACCUUCGGGAGGGCGCUUACCACUUUGUGAUUCAUGACUGGGGUGAAGUCGUAACAAGGUAACC
RNAcentral lists this ribosomal RNA (731 nucleotides) under uncultured bacterium. Its description in RNAcentral is "bacterial SSU rRNA". It matches the Rfam family "Bacterial small subunit ribosomal RNA", at positions 771 to 1501 of the family's 1533-position model. The record is from RNAcentral.